RNAcentral lists this ribosomal RNA (249 nucleotides) under uncultured bacterium. RNAcentral's name for it is "partial 16S ribosomal RNA". It matches the Rfam family "Bacterial small subunit ribosomal RNA", at positions 526 to 779 of the family's 1533-position model. The record is from RNAcentral.
CGUAGGUGCAAGCGUUAAUCGGAAUUACUGGACGUAAAGCGUGCGCAGGCGGUUUGUAAGUCUGAUGUGAAAGCCCCGGGCUCAACCUGGGAAUUGCAUUGGAGACUGCAAGGCUUGAAUCUGGCAGAGGGGUAGAAUUCCACGUGUAGCAGUGAAAUGCGUAGAGAUGUGGAGGAACACCGAUGGCGAAGGCAGCCCCCUGGGUCAAGAUUGACGCUCAUGCACGAAAGCGUGGGAGCAAACAGGAUU